UCCAAAGUCUCUCUGGACAUUCUGGUCUAAGACACAGAUGACUGGCUCUAAGACUUCAGUACAAAAUGCAUGAGUGGACUGAACACCAACAUGUACUGCUCCAGAGAGCGACAGGUGAACUGAAGAACUUUACUCAAAAGAACAUCUGUCUAUAAAUGUCAAAUGCAAGACAGAAUCCCCAGCAAUAAGAACUGGUAUGUACAUGUCUGCUGAGAUCUUCUCUGUCCAGAAGAAAUCAUGAUGACUUCCACAUAUGUUGCAUGUGGAAUAAGUAAAUAUUCAUUGAAGACUUAAUACAUAUGCAAACCUACUUCAAGAUAAGCAAGAUAUCACAAAUCA
Molecule: long non-coding RNA, 339 nt
Organism: Chinchilla lanigera (long-tailed chinchilla)
Lineage: Eukaryota; Metazoa; Chordata; Mammalia; Rodentia; Chinchillidae
Exons: 2
Source: RefSeq, a predicted model, not a curated record